CGCAGACGACAAGGACGCUGGGUGCGAUUGUUUAUGAGAAAUGUUGUACCUGGAGAGACGGACAUUUGAAUUAAAACAAAUGGAAUAAGAUAUGCAAACCAAGCAGAGGCGGAUUAUUUUCCGAGAAGAAGGUCGCUUUUCAGCUUCAAAAAUGGGGACGACUUGUCAAACAGUCAACGAAACAAGAGGCAGAUUCAGAUAACUUAUUUUGGUAAAUAAAUGGGUAGAUCACUCAGAUCGCUUAAACAAACACACUACAUAUAUUAAGUAUGUUGAAUGCAAUGUUGAAACGUUGCUAAUCAGCGUUGCCAUAUAUUUAUAUACAAACAAACAAACAUUCAUAGCAAGACCGUUGACAACGAUGUCAAGUCCGUUCGUCCUUGGCUUAUUGCAUGACAAUUUUGCCAUGUGUUCGUUCGCCC
Molecule: long non-coding RNA, 422 nt
Filed under: Mytilus galloprovincialis (Mediterranean mussel)
Lineage: Eukaryota; Metazoa; Mollusca; Bivalvia; Mytilida; Mytilidae
Source: RNAcentral